Molecule: long non-coding RNA, 787 nt
Filed under: Cavia porcellus (domestic guinea pig)
Lineage: Eukaryota; Metazoa; Chordata; Mammalia; Rodentia; Caviidae
Description: lncRNA (ENSCPOG00000040769.1)
Source: RNAcentral
GACUAUGAAGGAAAAAAAGGAACCUAAGGUAGCUUUCCUUCCUUUGUUGCUCCAGGAAACAACAUGAAAUCUCUCACGAUGGGCCACCCAUCAUACUGAAGUAAUAUACACAACUUGUUAAUCAAUUGGGAAUAUUACUUAGCCAGGUUUCCAGUUUUCUUUGAUAAAUUGGAGAUUUAACAACGCAGGAUUCUCUUCCUUGUGCGGAAACAUAAACUUGCCUACAUUAUUUACAUAUUUUCGUGCAUCGACGUGGACCUCAUUUAUAAUUUUCUUACAAAACAUCUUUUUAAAAGAACAGUACAGAGCCAAACAUCUUCCUGCGAUCCUACAGGGCAUUAUAUGGUCUCAGGUACUGGCUGCUGGUUUAUUAAAGGGUAGGAUUUCCAUUUACUCCAGGCAGGCUUAAUGUAUUGUUCUCAGAGUGAGACAGUCAGAAUGAGUCAGGAGCCAAAGAAUACACUUUAUAGACACAAAUAAUCGUAAAUUCAGAAUGUCACCUUUAGGCAGAGGCAUUUUUAUUAUUGUUAGUGGAGCUGCUGAGUAGGUUUGAUGUUUUAUUCUCUUGAGGACUCAAUGUUCCCAAGUCCUGGAGCCCUGUCUUUAUCAGGCUCACAAGGAGGGAGCCCAGCCAAACUUGCUUCCUAUACUUCUCUAUGAUUGAUAGCAGAUGGCAUGCUUUAAAAUAAACCUAUCCAUUAGCAGUCCUCAGUGUUUUUACUCAAGGCAUUUACAACUGUCUCAAGCAGAAAACACAUUCACUCCAUGAACUAGUUUCAGUCCAGAA